Molecule: long non-coding RNA, 725 nt
Organism: Anastrepha obliqua
Lineage: Eukaryota; Metazoa; Arthropoda; Insecta; Diptera; Tephritidae
Exons: 4
Source: RefSeq, a predicted model, not a curated record
GCAUCAAAAGCAAUUCAAUUUCACAAAUUGCAUAUACUUCUACAUACAGAGAGUUGAUAUCAACAAAUCCUUUACAGCUUGUGGAUGUGCCGGAGAUGGAGUAUUUCGCCAGUCAAAACAUUGGGGAGGUGUGCGUGCGCGGUUCUAACGCAUUCCACAGUUAUUACAAAGAUCCCGAGAAAACUGCUGAGGCUGUUGACUCUGAAGGCUGGCACCACCGGAGAAGAUUGAGAAUAUUUACACUCUGAGCCAAUAUGUAAAUCAGGUGUAUGUUUAUGGAGAGAGCCUUAAGAGCUGCAUCAUAGCCGUCGUCGUGCCUGAUGUGGAUGUUCUGAAGCAGUGGGCGAACAACAAUCGCGUCAAGGGCACACUUUCGGUGUUAUGCAAUAAUCCACAAGUAAAAGAACUCAUCAGGAGCGAUAUGCUGAAUUGGAAUAAGCAGAGCGGACUGAAAUCCUUCGAACAGGUCAAGGAUAUAUAUUUGCAUCCCGAUCCGUUUUCGGUACAAAAUGGACUACUCACACCAACAUUCAAAGCGAAGCGGCCACAAUUGAACAAAACAGUGCGAGAAACCCCGUAGAGGAGUUAGAAGUAAAAUGCGAACAAUUUUAAACUUUAUGCGAAAAUAGAAAAAACAUGCAAUUGCUAUUUAUUUAAUUAAGCAUCAAUUUAAAUUUCUGUAAAAUAGAUAUUUUAAAUACCGGCAUAAAAGCAAACUAUUACCA